Molecule: long non-coding RNA, 1278 nt
Organism: Esox lucius (northern pike)
Lineage: Eukaryota; Metazoa; Chordata; Actinopteri; Esociformes; Esocidae
Source: Ensembl
CAACAAUGGAGUCUGGAGUCAUGGGUGAAAUCGAGGAACUUUUGUCCGAACAAGUUCGCCGUUACCAACAUUUGUACGACCCUUCAUCGAAGCUGUAUAAGAACAGUGGGGUUACAAACAAUUCCUGGAAAGAGAUAGGAGAAAUUCUGGGCGAAGAGCCAACAACUUGCCAGAAGAGGUGGAAGCUGAUGAGGGACAAAUAUGUGAGAAUAAAGAAGAAAUUGAGUAGUAGAAGUGGCGAUUCAGGAGGGAAUAAAGUACCUCCAUAUUACAGAAAGCUUUCUUGGCUGUCCGGGUACAUAAAACACCGUGAAACCGACUCCAACUUUGUCGAGGACACAAAUGGGCACUCACCUCUCUGUCUGGUACAAAAUUUGACUUCCCCUAUCAACAAAGACGAGGCAACAAUGGAGUCUGGAGGCAUGGCUCAAAUCGAGGAACUUUUGACCAAACAAGUUCGCCGUUACCGGCAUUUGUACGACCCAUCGUCGAAGUUGUAUAAGAACAGUGAGGUUACAAACAAUUCCUGGAAAGAGAUAGGUGAAAUUCUGGGCGAAGAGCCAACAACUUGCCAGAAGAGGUGGAAGCUGAUGAGGGACAAAUAUGUGAGAAUAAAGAAGAAAUUGAACAGUAGAAGUGGCGAUUCAGGAGGGAAUAAAGUACCUCCAUAUUAUAGAAAGCUUUCUUGGCUGUCCGGAUACAUAAAACACCGUGAAACUGACUCCAAUUUUGUUGAGGACACAAAUGAGCACUCCCCACCCUGUCUGGAAGCAAAUUUGACUUCCUCAAUCAACAAAGACGAGGCUACAAUUGAGUCUGGAGGCAUGGCUCAAAUCGAGGAACUUUUGUCCAAACAAGUUCGCCGUUACCGGCAUUUGUACGACCCUUCGUCGGAUUUGUAUAAGAACAGUGUGGUUACUCACGUUUCCUGGAAAGAGAUAGGAGAAAUUCUGGGCGAAGAGCCAGCAACUUGCCAGAAGAGGUGGAAGCUGAUGAGGGACAAAUAUGUGAGAAUAAAGAAGAAAUUGAGCAGUAGACGCGCCGAUUCAGGAGGGAAUAAAGUACCUCCGUAUUAUAGAAAGCUUUCUUGGCUGUCCGGAUACAUAAAACACCGUGAAACCGACUCCAAUUUGGACACAAAUGAGGUAAGUUCAGUUUUUCAAAUUGCCAAAUUCAGUGUUGAUUACUUCUACUGCAACGUUGGUUUACUGUCCAGUAGUUCAAGUUCAAAAGUGUAUACCGAAUAACAUAGCGUCGUCCUGCACAAUGAAAUUCUUG